RNAcentral lists this long non-coding RNA (393 nucleotides) under Monodelphis domestica (gray short-tailed opossum). RNAcentral describes it as "lncRNA (ENSMODG00000046508.1)". Lineage: Eukaryota; Metazoa; Chordata; Mammalia; Didelphimorphia; Didelphidae. The record is from RNAcentral.
CGUCAAAAUGAACUGCUCCUUGGGUUCUGAGAGUCCUGUUAGACCUUUGGGGAAAAGAACAGUCUGCAUAUUGUAAUCCCUUGGGCCUGACUUAGAUUCCUGGCAAAAUUCUGUAAUGCAUUAUUAAAGGAACGACUCUUGAACAUCUAGAAAAAGGAAGCAGUGAUCACAAAGAGCCAGCAUGGCUUCAUUAAGAACAGGGGCAGGCUCUACAAUUUGCUGUGAGUGCCAUCUGGUGCCUGAACCCAAACGUGAAUGUGAAGAGGAUAAGCUGAGCAACACUGACAGUUUGUAAUUCCACUCUGGGAGAGUGGAUAAAACAGGAGAAACAAAUGAACUUAUUACUUACUUAAAAGAGCAUCAGAUAUGCUAGGCUGAGUAAACCCCAUCUCU